This is a long non-coding RNA of Panonychus citri (citrus red mite), 1242 nucleotides long. RefSeq lists it as uncharacterized. The transcript is spliced from 2 exons. The record is from RefSeq and is a predicted model, not a curated record. Lineage: Eukaryota; Metazoa; Arthropoda; Arachnida; Trombidiformes; Tetranychidae.
UGAUCAUGAUCGUGGUGGUGGCGAGUGGAGGGUGGGAACUGAUGUUGAUCUUUACACUACAAUUAACUAUCUUAAUUAGUAAAUUAAGACAUUUCAACAAGUAAAAUGGUUCAGCAUAGACACAUAGAAAAAAGUUUAAAGGUAAACAUUUGAAUCUAUUACUAACAUUAUCCCAAUUGAACAUUUCAAAACUAAUUCAUAAUCUACUUACCCUUCAAGCUUUAAUUGUCCAGUUAAUUGUUGGAAUAAUAAAUAACUGUAAUUCCAAUAAUAAUAAACUAAUCACAUUAAUCAGACAAUAAGAGUAACAUGUUAAUAUUAAAUACGAAGCGAGAUAAUUUCUAAUAUCAAAUUAAAUUGAGUUUAAGUUAUCAUUAUCUAAUCGACAAUUAAAUUGUUUAUUGUAAUAUAAUAAUCACUUUUUGAUAAAUCUAUCAAAUUGUUGAUUUUUUUUCUUCUCUCAAUUUAAAUUGGAUUAAAAUAAAUUUCUUCUUGGUCAAGGCAAUGAUAAUAUAAUUCUCGUAAUUAGUCAAUUAUCCCUGAGUUUUUUUCCCUCGAAAUUUUCAUUCAAUCAACUUUAAUUUCUUGAUUAAUUGUUGAAGUUUUUUUUUCUUCAUCUCUUUUCCUCUUGCUAAUUGUUACGUUGAUUAAGAAUGUUGAAUAUACAUAACAAUUGAACGAGAUGUCACCACAAUUCUUAACCACUACAAUUAGUUAAUCCAAUUCGUUAUUAAUACUUUUAAUCCACUUGUUGAGUAAUUUUUCGUGGGCUCGAAUUUUUUUGCUUCUGUUUACAUUUUGAUUACCAUCUUAUAAGUGAUUAAAUUACAAUUAUCUUUAAUUAUCGGCCAAUUUCAGCGAUAAUAAAUUGUUGAGACUGAAUGGUUGGUUGAUUAGCAUCAACACUCUGUCCUCAUCGUCGUAAUUUUUGAUACAAUUAACAAUAUAAAUACGAAGCUAACAAUUAAUAAUCAACAGAUUAAUACAAUGUAAACAACAACAACAACAACAGUAAUUAACAUCUUCAUCAAGCCAAUAUUGACCCUAACAACUUUCCGGUCAAACUCAUUUUCCCCUCUUUUUAAUUACUAUAAAUGUAAAUUAGUCUACAAUUUGAUUUGAUUACUGGACAAUUGGAUGAUUUAAUAUGUCACCUUGAAUUAAUUGUAUCUACAGCAAUUGAUGAACAAUCAACUGAUUAUAAUAACAAGUCUAUUAGUUGUGAUUCCUUCAACCAUACAA